GAGGAUUCCAGAAAACAUUGGUGACAUGAAAACAUUGGAAUCGCUUGACUUAUCUGUGAACAGUCUGAUAGGGGAGAUACCUUCGAGCUUUUCUGCUAUGCAUUUCCUGGAACGUUUGAAUCUGUCUUACAACAACUUAUCAGGAAAAAUACCCACGAGUGGUCAAUUGUCGACCUUUGACCCUUCGACAUAUGUGGGUAAUAAAGGCCUUUGCGGUAUGCCACUGCCAGCUUGCCCUGUUUAUCAAACUCCACCCGAUGCCAGAGUUAAAGAUGAUGAGAAGCUCGACAAAUUAUUGGAGUACACCAGUAUUGUGGUUGGAUUUGUGGUUGGCUUCUGGCUGUUUAUUGGCACUCUCAUCAUGAAGCAGGCCAUCAGAUUCGCUUUCUUCCGACGGAUCGACAAGACCAUUGACUGGAUCUAUGUUCAGUUUGCAGUUAAGCUUGCGAAGCUCAAAUCCAAAUGGCAAACAACGACAUGAACUGCCGGUAAGUGCUAAAGUGUGUCAUGUUUUCCUUUGUAGUUAGUCGCAUCGAAAUCUUGCGUUAGCAUGUAAUGAUGUUAUCAUAUUAUGCUGUCAUGAUUAAGCUGAAAUAAGCAUCAUGGAUUCCCUGUAUACAUUACAUGCAUUAGUUCUAGUAUCAUAACAUCUCCAUCUAUCAUCACUUUGCUAUCGCAAGGCCUUCGCUUAUGGAUUGAUACAUACAUAUCUGACAACUAAAAAGAUUAAUUGCAAGAGUGUAUGUCAUACAUACUCUGUUUGCUAACGAAAUAGUUAAUCUACCUAUAUUUAAUCGAUGUUUGAGAGGGAAGAUUGUGUUCUUCUGUUAGUGUCCUUACGAUAGAAAAAAAAAUUCAACUUUGUUAUUAUGCUCAAAUUAGAUAAAGAUAAUGACAAUCACAGUAUGGAGAGACAAUUAGACAAUAAAAUUGUAACCAUUAUUGUGGACAUGCUCUUAGCGUUUGGCUGAAAUCAAUGUCUUAUUCGAGUGGCGAAUCUUUUUUUUCUGAGAAGAGACUGUAUAAUUUGAUUCUUCUCCACAUUCAUAUGGUAUGAGACUCACUCUUCAUUUUCUACCAAAGUACAUAUUUUUUUUCUGCAAAAAUAAAAUCCACGUCCAACGAAUUAUUUUUUUCUAAAAGUGAAUUAUUAUUAAUAAAUAAGUUUUAUAAAUUCAUAGCAAUCCCACUCUAGACUGCUUAUUCCUAUCAUUUGGGUGCUAAAUCUUGAGACCUUUUGAAUAUAUAAUUGUCUUAAGAGAGAUAUUUUAUGUUUCUUGAUUGAGUUUUUUUCGUUAAUCAACAUUUUAUGUUAUAUGCGUUUGUUUCAAUAUUCAUAACAUGAGAGCAUAUAUAUAUAUUUUUUGUUCCUUUUUCCUGGAAAUCAUAUUUUGCAGGACUGGCAGAACUUUGAUUUAGGUGUUACCAGAAUGCUUUAUAUAACUUCCCGAUUUGCUGCUAUUUUGGGGUUUAUAAUAAAAAGCAGAUUGCCACCAGUUCAGCUGAUGCAGGAGUCAAACUAGAAGAAGAUGACAAUGGAGAUAUGCUUGAAACAAUAAUAUUAGAUGUUACUAGCGUUGUCGUGGGAUUAAUAGUUGUUUCUGGGGUUUCUAUCGGCGUAGUGAUCGUGAAGCAAGGCUCAAGGAUUACUCUCUUCCAACAAAAUGACAACAUCUAUGGCUGCAUGCAGAUAUGUGCAGCUGAAAGCUGAAGCCCAAAAUAAUGACGAAGAAUCAAUUGAACUGUGGCUAAGUGCUAAGACUGUCUAUGUAGACUUCAUGUAUUUAUGUUCUAGUGUUUUAUUUCAUGAAUGACCAUUUGGUGUUGUCCAGAAAUAAGGUUGUUGUUUAAAUAUAACAUCUGAGACAUGGCAUCAGGAUUGCUCUGUUCCAGUUGAUCGGCAGGACUUGUGAUUGGAUCUAUGUGCAGGUGGCAGUAAAGCUUAAGGAACCGAAGUGCAAAUGGCGAAGAAUGACUUGAAGAAUCACCAAGCAUCUCAAGCUCAUGUCAUCCUCUUCAUGUUAUGAUGUAUUUAUGUUUCUUGUAAUUGUUGUAGUCUCUUUAGAGUCUUAAAUCUAUUGGCAACUUGCUGCUGCUUUUUAGUGUAGUGAAACUUAAUUUACUGCAUCACUUAUUGCUUCUUUUCCAGAAACAAACCAAUGGUCCACAGGAGGGCAAAUGAGUUGUCAUAACAUACGCAACAUAUUACUAUGAAUUGAGAAUUGCUCCAGUGGAAGCAUCAUAACUCCAUCCUACAUAUACAUGAAAUUGAUUUCAGUGAGUGCUUCAGGGGAUUCCAGCUGAGAACAAAGUGUGAUUAUGUUCAAUAUAUCUCAAUCAGGGGAAGACUUGCUCAUGCUUUCAUAAUGGAUUUAACCAUUCAAAGUGUUUUCUAUGGCCUUGGAAGUUGCUGUUCUGUUGUCAGAUCUCUUCAAUCUCUCAAACUCUCAACUAUUCAAAUCAUGCCUUAGUUUGAUGAACCAAAUGGAUUAAUCAAAAGAAUGAUUCUGGAUUAAUCAAAAGAAUUAAUCAAACCAAGCUUUCUCUUUAUAUGCUACUUCAAUCUCUCUGUGACCAAGCUUUCUCAGUGGAGAAAUUCCAAUAAUUUGGUUCAUUUAGAUAUAUCAAGUAACUUUAUUACCGGACAAUUACCACCACCGGGGAACCUCAUCAACUUAGAAUACUUAGAUUUAUCAUCCAACAAUAUCGUCGGAAGUAUUCCACAUACUUUGGGUUCUCUCAUCCAUCUCAAUAUAUUAAUCUUACUUCAAAAUGAUAUUUCUUGACGUAUACUAGAAACCAUUACAUUUCAAGAUCUUAAGUUAUACAACUUAGACGAAUACAAGAGACAAUUGGUAGACUCUAUCACUCGAAAAUUUUGAACAUAUCAUACAAUAACUUAUAGAUACCAAUGAUAUUAGGUAAUUUGACCAUGCGACUCUUUCUUUAAAUUAUUCUUAAUUUUUUAGGAAUUCUUUUUUACCCGAAACAUGGUUAUUUUUUUCAAAAUAAAUUUGUGUCCAACCAAGGAAACUUGUCCAAAACAUUUGAUGAGAGUAUAAACUUCUUAUGCCUAUCAAUCGGGUGCUAAAAGAUUGAAAAUUGGAUAACCAUCUCAAGAAAUAUUUUCUUUGGUAAUCAGAAUUCCUGCUUGAGUGGUUUUGGUCAACCAACGUUAAUUGCUUCAACAUAUUUACUGACCACAGCAAAAAAUGAUUAUGUGGAAUAUUUUUCCUUGACUGCCACAAAAUAAGUUUGGGAACGGACUCAAAAUUGGGUCGGAUUCGGGCUCGAAUCGAAUCGACUCGGGAUGUUGACCGAAGUCAACUUCUCACCGGCCCCACCUGCGUUCCUCGCCGCAGCCGUUCCCAUCGCCUGCGUUCACACAGUGCACCGCCGCACGCGGGGGCGUUUCACGCUCGCAGUCCUCCCCGCGGCCGCAGCCCGCUGUCUUCAUCGACGCCUCCCCGUGUGCCCGCACCGGCCCCCCCCAGCCACAGUCGCCGAAGUCGUCCAACGCAGCCGCAGUCGCACCUCUCCGCUCGCAGGCGGCGAGCCCUCCACCUUCCCUUGCUCCUAUAAAUAGAGCUUUGGGGAACAACAGCGAGGGAAGCGAAGGAGAGAACAACGAGAGAGAGGAAGAGAGGAGAAGUGAGUAAGGAGCCCAAAUCCGACCAAUGUUCUUCUCCGGCGAGAAGUCCAGUCGCCGAUCUCCGUCGCCGGCCAGUCACUGUGCUCAUUGCAGCACCAUUGAGGAAGAGAGGAGAAGAGGAAGAAGAGGAAUUUGACUGGUCAACCCUGGUCAACAUUGAUGAACAGAGGUAAUUUUGUAAUUUUGGUUUAUAUGGUAAAUUUUAGAUUUUUUUAUAAAGAAAGUGAAUGUUGCAACACUCCUAUUAAUCCUUUCAAUAUAUGGUAUUUGAGCCUUUUUACUAGAUUAUCAAGUUACCGGGCUUCAUCGAUAGACAUAAGAAACAAGAUCAAAAAAGUGGAUCGAAACAUCAACUACUCUCUAUAAACGAUAAAGAUGAAGACUAUCUGAAUAAAGGAGAAACAUCAUUACACUAUCUUCGGGAAAGAAAAAAUAACAAACAUGAAUGAGAAAAAGUAGAAUUUGAUCAAAGUGUUAUGACAAUUUUAUUUAUGUGCAUAUCCAAUGAAGCACUUUACGAUAUUGCCAUAAAACAAACAACAGUAAAAGUUUGAGACACAAAGCAUAUUAGUAGAAGACCCUUACAAGAAAAAUGACCCUCAAGUAUAUGUUGUACCGAAUGACAAAAGGAACCUUAGUGAAUCAAUACAUUAGUGUCUUUCAAACUAAAAUUCAUGGAUCUUGAGAAUAUGAAUGUUGUCAUCGACGAAGAAGACAAAGCCAUGUUAUUAUUAUUUUUAUAUAAAAACUUUUUGAAAAUAAUUUUAUAUUGAAAGAAUACCAUUUCUCUAGAUAUUAUGAUUUUAACCCUAGUGUCAAAAGAAUACCAUCUCUUUUAUAGACUUCUAGUUGACAAUGGAAACCUCCAAAAGUCAUGCUGAAGCUUUAAACUUCAUGGAGAGAUGUAGAGUUUAGGAAAGGAGACAGAAAUAAAUCUAUAGCCAAAUCUAGAUCAAAGUAAGUAUUAUUGCAAAAGGAAGGGCCACAUCAAAGCAGACUGUUGAGCUUAAAAUAAAAUGCAACAAUCAAAAUGCUAAAGCCUCAUGCAUAAACAAAGAGAUUGAGAUUGAGGUACUUAUGGCCUCCAUAUGCCACCAGGCCACAGGAUGGGUGGCUUUUGGACUCCAUAUGUUCCUUUCAUAUGAUACAACAUGGAUGUUAGUUCUCCACUUAUGAACUCACCCAAGAAGAAAAAGAUGCGCUUAUGGGAAGAACUCAUCGUGUUAGAUCAUCCAAACAGGACAAGUUAAAAUCAAGACACGACAUGAUUAUAAGAUCCUUGGUAAAGGUAUAGCACAUUCGUGAGUUAAAGAGAAACUUAACUUUAUUAUCCACUUUGGAUGCCUUAGGCUAUGACUAGUCUGACCAAUGAGCCCAAAUCGAACAAAAGUUCUUCGACAAAACAUUUUUUCAUCGAUCUUUGUCGUCGGUCCAUCGCUUAAUCUCAUUGCAACAGUUGUAAAGUAGAGAAAGUUGAUCGGUGAACUUUGGUUAUUGUUCUAACUCUCACAUCUUUAUCGUGAGUUGAUUAUUAUUUAACAGUUAAAUUGUUCACACCUAAAUCCCCAACACCCAAAUCUCUCGUAUUAAUCAAUCAACUCUCGAUAGCAUCAGAUUUAUGUCUCCUUCACAUAGGUUUGCAUCCGACUUGAGUCUCAGGCAGCCUCCCUAUUUGGUUUUCAAAUUUCUCAAAAGGUUUGAAAAUUAUUAACUUGAGCUCCAACUAUUUGAUUGGUCAAUUACCUUCUGCUCCCCAAUUCAUAUUGAAUCUAUCCAACAACUUAUUUGUUGGACCUAUUCCAUUGAGCUUGAAAAAAGCUACGAGACUCAUUUUGUUAUUUUUGUCUCAUAAUCAUAUCAACGGUGAUUUUCCUUUCUUCUUUUGUCAUAUGGAUUCACUUGGAGUUCUAGACCUAUCUAACAAUCACUUAAUUGGAGAAGUCCCCGAUUGUCAUAAUUCAUUUCCGAUCUCUCUACGAUCUUUACAUUUAAAUAAUAACAAUUUAUCUAGAAGGAUUCCUUCAUUUUUGAAAUACUGUGACCAAUUAAUUAUCCUUGAUUUAGGUGAAAAUAAAUUAUUUGAUAAAAUUCCGAAAUGGAUAGGAAGAAACCAUGAAGGUUCUUCGUCUGAGGUCAAACUUAUUAUAUGGUACUAUCCCUGAGAACAUAGUGGAUCUCACUUCUCUUCAGGUUUUGGAUCUUUCUUCCAACAAGUUCUUUGGUAGCCUACCAUCAUCUCUAGGAAAUUUCACUGCCAUGGUUGAGGUACAAAAUGACACGAGGUCAUUGAUUGAAGAUUACUAUUCUUACAUCGAGAGCAUCUUAGUCACAACAAAGGGAUCAAUGGUUGAGUACACAACCAUUCUCUGGCUGGUGACAUGCAUAGACUUGUCAAAUAAUCAUCUCUCUGGUGAAAUCCCAAAAGAACUGACAAAGCUUCUCGGAUUGCGCUUCCUAAACUUAUCCGAGAAUCAUUUGACGGGAAGGAUUCCAGAAAAGAUGGGUGACAUGACACUAUUGGAAUCGCUUGACUUAUCAGUGAACAGUCUCACAGGGGUGAUACCUUCGAGCUUUUCUGCUAUGAAUUUCCUGGCCCGUUUGAAUCUGUCUUACAACAACUUAUCAGGAAAAAUACCCACUAGUGGUCAACUGUCAACCUUUGACUCAUGGACAAAUGUGGGUAACAAAGACCUUUGCGGUACGCCACUGCCAGAUUGCCCUGUUUAUCGAAUUCCACCUGACGCC
This 6397-nucleotide long non-coding RNA is filed under the name Musa acuminata (dwarf banana). Its description in RNAcentral is "long non-coding RNA (MACU_LNC001597)". Lineage: Eukaryota; Viridiplantae; Streptophyta; Magnoliopsida; Zingiberales; Musaceae. The record is from RNAcentral.